ACAUACGACAUGGUUUGUUUGGAACAGAGGGGCCCUUCAAGUCCAUUCAAAGAGAGAGUAGCAGGAACAUCUGGAUUGAUCUUUGGUUUAGCGGCCUUCCAUUUAACAAAGGGUCAACCUUGUUCAUUUUAGUCAGAUCUUGAGCUGCUUUCACGCGUUACCUGAUAUCCUUUGUGAUGAUAGGCUACAUUUGGACUCCGACACCACUGAGAGAUAUGAUAGCAAGUAGUGCUUGUCUCUUAUGUUGUGAUCCAGAAUCAAAAUUUUCCUGCCAAAAUUGUAUUGGAGAUCGCUCACCUCGGUUGUCAUAUUUGUCACCUCGCCGCCGACUCUUCUUCACUUAUUUUCUUGGAAUAUUUUUUAUGGCAUGAUAUUACCACUAAACCAAUGCUUAUUGUAUGUAAUA
Molecule: non-coding RNA, 406 nt
Organism: Musa acuminata subsp. malaccensis (wild Malaysian banana)
Lineage: Eukaryota; Viridiplantae; Streptophyta; Magnoliopsida; Zingiberales; Musaceae
Source: RefSeq, a predicted model, not a curated record